RNAcentral lists this ribosomal RNA (492 nucleotides) under uncultured bacterium. RNAcentral describes it as "partial 16S ribosomal RNA". It matches the Rfam family "Bacterial small subunit ribosomal RNA", at positions 29 to 507 of the family's 1533-position model. The record is from RNAcentral.
AGUGAACGCUGGCGGUAGGCCUAACACAUGCAAGUCGAACGGCAGCACAGUAAGAGCUUGCUCUUACGGGUGGCGAGUGGCGGACGGGUGAGGAAUACAUCGGAAUCUACUUUUUCGUGGGGGAUAACGUAGGGAAACUUACGCUAAUACCGCAUACGACCUACGGGUGAAAGCAGGGGAUCUUCGGACCUUGCGCGAUUGAAUGAGCCGAUGUCGGAUUAGCUAGUUGGCGGGGUAAAGGCCCACCAAGGCGACGAUCCGUAGCUGGUCUGAGAGGAUGAGCAGCCACACUGGAACUGAGACACGGUCCAGACUCCUACGGGAGGAAGCAGUGGGGAAUAUUGGACAAUGGGCGAAAGCCUGAUCCAGCAAUACCGCGUGGGUGAAGAAGGACUUCGGGUUGUAAAGCCCUUUUGUUGGGAAAGAAAAGAAGCAGGUUAAUACCCCGCUGUUCUGACGGUACCGAAAGAAUAAGCACCGGCUAACUUCGUG